CCCUCCCUCUUUCUUCAGGCCUAACACAUGCAAGUCGAGCGAGAACUUCGGUCCUAGCGGCGGACGGGUGAGUAACGCGUGGGAACGUGGCCUUUGCUUCGGAAUAGCACUGGGAAACUGGGAGUAAUAUAGGAUGAGCCCUUUGGGGGCAAGAUUUAUCGUAGAAGGAUCGGCACGCGUUGGAUUAGGUAGUUGGUGGGGUAAUGGCCUACCAAGCAGAGGAUCCAUAGCUGGUUUGAGAGGAUGAUCAGCCACACUGGGACUGAGACACGGCCCAGACUCCUACGGGAGGCAGCAGUGGGGAAUCCUAGACAAUGGGGUAAAUCAUGAUCGAGCCAUGCCGGGUGAGCGAUGAAGGCCUUAGGGUUGUAAAGCUCUUUCAGCUGGGAAGAUAAUGACGGUACCCGCAGAAGAAGCCCCGGCUAACUCCGUG
This 433-nucleotide ribosomal RNA is filed under the name uncultured bacterium. RNAcentral's name for it is "partial 16S ribosomal RNA". It matches the Rfam family "Bacterial small subunit ribosomal RNA", at positions 36 to 507 of the family's 1533-position model. The record is from RNAcentral.